RNAcentral lists this ribosomal RNA (496 nucleotides) under uncultured bacterium. Its description in RNAcentral is "partial 16S ribosomal RNA". It matches the Rfam family "Bacterial small subunit ribosomal RNA", at positions 29 to 507 of the family's 1533-position model. The record is from RNAcentral.
AUGAACGCUGGCGGCGUGCCUAAUACAUGCAAGUCGAGCGAACGGACGAGAAGCUUGCUUUUCUGAUGUUAGCGGCGGACGGGUGAGUAACACGUGGAUAACCUACCUAUAAGACUGGGAUAACUUCGGGAAACCGGAGCUAAUACCGGAUAAUAUUUUAAACCGCAUGGUUCAAAAGUGAAAGACGGUCUUGCUGUCACUUAUAGAUGGAUCCGCGCUGCAUUAGCUAGUUGGUAAGGUAACGGCUUACCAAGGCAACGAUGCAUAGCCGACCUGAGAGGGUGAUCGGCCACACUGGAACUGAGACACGGUCCAGACUCCUACGGGAGGCAGCAGUAGGGAAUCUUCCGCAAUGGGCGAAAGCCUGACGGAGCAACGCCGCGUGAGUGAUGAAGGUCUUCGGAUCGUAAAACUCUGUUAUUAGGGAAGAACAUAUGUGUAAGUAACUGUGCACAUCUUGACGGUACCUAAUCAGAAAGCCACGGCUAACUACGUG